UCAAAAUAAAAUUGAAUUGAGUGAAAAGUGUUCGCUGCCGGAUUUUAUUUGGAAGUGAGAGAAUCGGAGAGCGUCAAAUAAUCUUUAAUAUUUAUAGAAAUCCUUUAAGAAAUUAAUUUAGAAAUAACUGUAUUUAAAUUGUAGUGCUUCCGUUCUUUAAGUUUUAAUAUUAUUUUCGAUUUUUGCUUAGUUAGUGACAAAGACAGGAAUUCCAAACAUAGUAUCGGAUAGGUAGAGGACAUUCGCUGGGCGUAAAAAGAAAAUGGCGUGUGCUACUCUCAAAAGAAAUUUGGACUGGGAGUCCAUGGCGCAAAUGCCUGCUAAAAGGCGAAGGUGCUCACCAUUUGCAGCCAGCUCUAGCUCAAGUCCUGGAAUUAAAGUUUCUGAGAGCAGACCUUCGUCAUUUGGAGAAUCCGUUAUUGCACCUGUGAAACUGACCCCAGAGCGCAUGGCACAGGAGAUAUGUGACGAGAUCAAGCGUCUGCAGCGUCGUCGCCAACUGCGUCUGACUAACGCGGCGGCCUCUUGUUCCUCGUCCAGCGGCUCCGAGGGCGAUUGCUCGCCGCCGCAUCGCUCCACACACAACACACAGAAGGUGCACCACCGUGCCCUCUUCACUUUCAAACAGGUGCGCAUGAUCUGCGAGCGAAUGCUCCGCGAGCAAGAAGUGGCUCUGCGCUCCGAGUACGAGUCGGCGCUCAGCACCAAGCUGGCUGAACAGUACGAGGCCUUCGUGCGCUUCAAUCUUGACCAGGUACUGCCAUUGUAGCUUAAAUAUUGCACCUUUUUGUCUAUGUAGUAAAGGAAUAAAUAGUUUAUGUGCUACAACUAAUAUGUAUCAUGUCAAAAAAAUCGGAUUCAUUACAACUUAAGAAUAUAAGCUCAACUAUCUUCAAAAUUACAACUUCUCAUAAGGUUCUCAAUAACUUUAUUUUCUAGUGUUUUAUCUCUAAGAAACUUCUUUAGGGAAAACAGACAUGCAAAUAAAGAUUACUAAUAUAAAAACCGUUAAUUACCAUUACAUGCGGUAAUUAAAGAAAUACACAAGCAUGUUUAGGUAAAUGAUGAUAAUAUUAUAUCUCGCGUAUGUAAAUGCGAUAAAAUAGGUAAUGUCAUUAUCUAGUAGCAAAUUCGAUUGUUUAGACGUUAUUUUGAAACAAUAUCAGUAACGGACGCGUAUUGAUAACAUUGAGCUAGCUUUCACACGCUUCUUAUCAAUUUGAAUAGACCACAGAAAUCGAUACCGAAAUUACACCUCCCUAUAAAAUAUUACCUGGCAUGCCUCCUUUGCAAUUUUUUUUUUACAAUUAAAAGAAAUAAUUACAAUUGAAAAAAAUAUUGUGAAAUUUGCAGCCGUUUCGCAACUAAGUAACUUACUGUCUUUAUAAUGGCAUAUUUCAAAAGUAUUGCAACACCAAGAUUUUUUUUUAUAUGUUCCACAACGAAAAAUGAUCUGACAAAUAAAAUGUCGUCAACAGGUGCAGCGCCGACCCCCGCCCGCGACUUGCAUGCCCCUUGGCAUGGACGCCGAACACCACAUGCACCAGGACCUUGU
Molecule: unclassified non-coding RNA, 1555 nt
Filed under: Helicoverpa zea (corn earworm)
Lineage: Eukaryota; Metazoa; Arthropoda; Insecta; Lepidoptera; Noctuidae
Description: akirin-like, transcript variant X1
Source: RNAcentral